Molecule: ribosomal RNA, 484 nt
Filed under: uncultured bacterium
Lineage: Bacteria
Description: partial 16S ribosomal RNA
Rfam family: Bacterial small subunit ribosomal RNA
Source: RNAcentral
AUUGAACGCUGGCGGCAGGCCUAACACAUGCAAGUCGAGCGGAUGAAGGGAGCUUGCUCCUGGAUUCAGCGGCGGACGGGUGAGUAAUGCCUAGGAAUCUGCCUGGUAGUGGGGGAUAACGUCCGGAAACGGGCGCUAAUACCGCAUACGUCCUGAGGGAGAAAGUGGGGGAUCUUCGGACCUCACGCUAUCAGAUGAGCCUAGGUCGGAUUAGCUAGUUGGUGGGGUAAAGGCCUACCAAGGCGACGAUCCGUAACUGGUCUGAGAGGAUGAUCAGUCACACUGGAACUGAGACGCGGUCCAGACUCCUACGGGAGGCAGCAGUGGGGAUUAUUGGACAAUGGGCGAAAGCCUGAUCCAGCCAUGCCGCGUGUGUGAAGAAGGUCUUCGGAUUGUAAAGCACUUUAAGUUGGGAGGAAGGACAGUAAGUUAAUACCUUGCUGUUUUGACGUUACCAACAGAAUAAGCACCGGCUAACUUCGUG